This 563-nucleotide ribosomal RNA is filed under the name Macrolepiota mastoidea. Its description in RNAcentral is "partial small subunit ribosomal RNA". It matches the Rfam family "Bacterial small subunit ribosomal RNA", at positions 365 to 896 of the family's 1533-position model. Lineage: Eukaryota; Fungi; Basidiomycota; Agaricomycetes; Agaricales; Agaricaceae. The record is from RNAcentral.
UCGUCAAUGGCCCGGAAGAGUGAACUAGCUAACUGAAAUCUUAAGAUCAUUUAAUCGUGGUACUUGAGAUAACGUAAGGGAAAAAAAUGAUAGUACCUUACUAUAAGUGUUGUCCAACAUUACUGGUGCCAGAAGACUCGGUAACGCCAGAAACGCAAACGUUAGUCGUCCUAAUCAGGCGUAAAGGGUAAGUAGGCUGCUUUGAAAGUUAUUAAUUAGAAAGCUCCAGUAGGCAAAGCCAACCCUCAAUCAAUUGAUUGAGAGGGGGGGGGAAUCUGCAACUGGUAAUUAAUAAUGAAUUAAAGCUAGAAUCAAACAGAGGAUAAGCCAAAUAAUGUUUAGAGUAGGGAUGAUAUCCGUAGAUACUAAAUGGAAUACUAAUGGUGAAAACUUUUAUCUAAUAAUGAUUGACGCUGAGGAACGAAGGUGAGAAUAGAAAAUAGGAUUAGAGACCCAGAUAUCUCUCACUGUCAACGAUGAAUGGUGGUUGUUAGUUUUAAAAUAAACUAGUAACGAUGUUAACGCGAUAACCAUUCCGCCUUGCGAGUACGGUUGCAAAACAG